UGGGGAAUAUUGCGCAAUGGGGGAAACCCUGACGCAGCGACGCCGCGUGUGGGAUGAAGGUCUUCGGAUUGUAAACCACUGUCGCGAGGGACGAAGCUCUGACGGUACCUCGAAAGGAAGCACCGGCUAACUCUGUGCCAGCAGCCGCGGUAAUACAGAGGUGGCAAGCGUUGUUCGGAAUUACUGGGCGUAAAGGGCGCGUAGGCGGCCCUCUAAGUCAGACGUGAAAUCCCCCGGCUUAACCUGGGAACUGCGUCUGAUACUGGAGGGCUUGAGUAUGGGAGAGGGAUGUAGAAUUCCAGGUGUAGCGGUGAAAUGCGUAGAUAUCUGGAGGAACACCGGUGGCGAAGGCGGCAUCCUGGACCGGUAUUGACGCUGAGGCGCGAAAGCCAGGGGAGCAAACGGGAUUAGAUACCCCGGUAGUCCCUGAGCGGGCUGGCAAGGCGCAU
Molecule: ribosomal RNA, 449 nt
Filed under: uncultured bacterium
Lineage: Bacteria
Description: bacterial SSU rRNA
Rfam family: Bacterial small subunit ribosomal RNA
Source: RNAcentral